GGGGUUUAGCUCAUUUGGUAAGCGCCUGCUUUGCAGGCAGGAUGCCAGCGGUUCGAGUCCGCUAACCUCCACUGACGAAUCUUCUGACAACGAGCCAAUGGUGAGAAUCGUUGUGUGAUGUGAUUUAAGAAUUUAAGUUUGCUGGCAGACCCUAUCUUCUUAUCUUUCC
RNAcentral lists this transfer RNA (169 nucleotides) under uncultured Prochlorococcus sp. RNAcentral's name for it is "tRNA-Ala". The stretch from base 1 to 71 matches the Rfam family "tRNA". The record is from RNAcentral. Lineage: Bacteria; Bacillati; Cyanobacteriota; Cyanophyceae; Synechococcales; Prochlorococcaceae.